AUUUUUUUAUUGUUCUAUUUUAUUGUCUCAUCUCUUCUAAAAUAGCUAUAGUGUUGUAGUCGUCAUAUUCUUCUAUUAUUUCUGUUGGUCCUAAUUUAUAUCCAUAAAUUAGUCUGCAACCCGUGCAUGUGCACGGGUUGUUUGGUAAGUGAUUUGCAAAUGGUGAUGGACAGCAAAAUAUAAAUGUUGAUUAACAGCAAAAUAGAUUUAAGAAACAUGGAUGAACACAGUAAAAUAGACUUAGGAAACAUUAAUAGAGUUUGUUGAAACUACAUCAGCAAGAUUUUUUUUUUCAAAAUUCCAGACUACGAAAGGCAGUUUAAUCGGUGUCGCUAUCGUCCCAAUCAUCCUGCCUUCUAAUUACAAUAUCCCAAUUUUUUUCAUAAUAUCUAUAGUAAAUAGAGAUUUCAUCUCCAUCAUCAAAGUCCAUUUCUUUAAGAAAAUCAUACCAUGGUUGAACAACGCCUUUUCCACCAAUAGUAGGAUUCAGGGUUUCAACUUUCCAUUGCAAUGGAGGACUAAAUCGCCUUAAGACUGUCAUGUGGUGACCACAAGCUUUAAGAGGAACUUUUGUACAACGCGGGAGUUUCUGCAGAUAGAAAAAAGUAAAAUUGAUAAACUGCUAAAAAUAUGUUUAAAGAGAUUAAUGUAUGAAAGGUCAACUUACCAGGGGUUCAAGAGCAUCCAGCAUUUCCUGAGUAAACCGAACAGUCCAGAUAUGCUUUCUGGAUGAAUGCCUCUGCCUACCACAAGUUUGUCGCUCCAGUGGUGGUAUGAAAUGUAUGUCAAAUACGCAGUGACGGUCACAGGCAAAAAAUUUAAUGGUGGUUGACUAGUAGAUUUUCAAAUCUUUCCUGAAGUUUUCGAGUCCAUCUGCCAAAUACACUCUUUCUUUGUGUUGUCUAACCCGUAUUUCGUAGAUGGCUCCAUUAUAUCUCAGGUGAACAAACUCGGGAUACUAUGGUGCCCAUUGUGUAUGGUAGAACGUUGGAAGUUGUAUGAUGUUCUGCAAAAAAACUGAGAAAUGUAAAUGCAUGUAUAUGGAACGAUAAUACUAAUGAAAGAAUUGCAAAAUAAGGAAAUAAUCAAAGAUGACUUUGUCGUUGUUGAAGGCAGCGAUAAAUUGGAUGAUCAACGGUGGGCCGAUCAUGGGAUUUUUCAUCUGCAAUGACAAAGAUAUCGUAAUUUUAAUAGAUUAAGUGUUGAUGUUGAAGAAAAGGGGAAAAAAAAUUUCUGCGGUGAAGAGCAGAAUAGGAAUGACUUACUUCACUUGAUGUUGUUGAAGAUGUGCUCUUCAUUUUGUGGAUGGCGUAAAAUUGAACUUUGCACAGAAAAGUGAAAGAGGAUUUGUAGGAGAAGGUAGGUUAUAGCGUUUUCUAGAGUGUAAUAUUUAAUGCAUGCAUGUUCCUAAUGCUAUAAUUGACGGUUGAUUUGAUCAUUGUUUUUAAGUUUAGCACAGUUGUCAAGAGGUGUGAAGUGAACAAGUGCCAAGUAAUUGAAGAGUUUUUGUUAAAAGCAGAAGGUUACGGUCCAGUUUUUUUUUUCACGCUGGACAUGAGGAUUGGCACAAUUUCUAGAAUUCCUUGUUAGCAUUGUUUUUAAUAUAUUGCAGAGUGGCCAAAUUUGAACAUAUAUUGUGUUUUGUGUGCCUAGUGAAUAUCAUGUGAUAUUUUUUAAUCAUAUGAUGUCUGAAGCAUAUAUACAAUUUUUUAAAAAUAAUUAUGUCAUGCUGCAUAACUAGAUUUUUUUUAAUGUGGUAUUUUUUCUAAAAUAAGAAUGAUGUUGUUUUCAACCAAUAGAGCAUAUGCAGCAUAAUCUGAUAUAUUUGCAGGAUUGGUAUAAGUGAAUUUUUUUCAUAGUCGCACAAAAGUGCAAGGAAAAUUUGAUAAACAUUCUUUAAAAAAUAAUUAUCAUAUAAGGAGUAGCAGAUGAAACAAAAAGAAAUUUUAACCUCAAUGGAAUGCUAGAUACAUUAUUAUUGAACUUCAAUUGUUUAAAUUCCUAUGUUUUGGAGAAAAAUAAAUAGAAUUUUUACAGAUAAAUGUCAAAGAAAGAAUUUCCAACUUAGUUCUUGUUUAAAUUUCUAUGUUUUGGAGAAAAAUAAACACAAUUCUUACAUAGCAGAAAUUGAAUAUGCCUGCCAAAAAUUUGUAUCCUAUUUUCAUAAUAUUAUUCAUGGGUCAGAUAUAUUGAAGUCAUUUGAUUGUAGUUCACUUGCAGUAGCUGUUAUUUGUGGAUGAAAGGCAGUCAUUCUAUGAUUUCCCUAUAAAACAAUGCAAUUAAAUAUCAACAGCAUUGUUUAAUUAAGUAAAAUACAUUUUUAAAGCUGCGAUAGCACUAUGCUAAGCUGCGAUAAAGUGCUAAAUAUUCAGAGGUUAUGGAUAUCUUUGUAAGUAAGUUAAGUAAAUGAAAUUGUAAAUGCAAGAUAGAAUUAUAAACUUAAGCUGUCAGAUUUUAAUGUAGUAACUAAGAUUACAUACCUGAUAAUGUAGAAUUUAAGAUUGUGAUAUAUGAUGUCAUCCUUAGCUGUAUGUUAGAAUGUACAUGAGUAAGAUAGCAGUUUAGAAUUGUUGCCAAUAAAUAGUAGAAUUUGUUCUUUCAAAAUUUAGAGUUACCUUGUAAAAUUUUUGAAAACCUCUUUAAAAACUACAUUGGUAGUAGAAGUCAUAUUUUUUUGGUCUUUAUCAUGAAUAAGUGUUGGACCUUGUGGGCUCAAUAAUCUUAAGAGGGAUAGGCUUAGAAUGCAAAAGAAGCAACAAAAAUCAAUUUAAUAAUGUUCUAUGAACAUGCAAGGCAAAAUUGAUUGCAAUAACAUAAAUGAGAUAAGGGAAGAGAGAAUGCAAACACAAUUUUAUACUGGUUCGGCCACUUCCCGUGCCUACAUCCAGUACUCAAGCAACCCACUUGAGAUUUCCACUAUCUUUGUAAAAUCCAUUACAAAGUCUGAACCACACAGGGACAACCCAUCCCUUGUGUUCAGGAAUCCUUUACAACAAGAGACUCACAGUCUCUUAACUAAUCUCAUUGAAUAAGAAGAAUGGAAGAAGAAUUUUCUCUUCAAGAGAAGAAUAUUACAAUAAAGAUCAUGUAGGAAUCCUUAUAGAUUUUGUAAGUGUUUGGCCAAGGAUUUCUUUUGAGAGAGCAUUUGACAAUGAAGUUCUUUUGGAAUCUCUCUCAUUGUUUUUUGAGAGGAUAAGACACUUUUGCCAAGCAAAACUCUCUCUUCAAUUUCGUCCCAAGUCACACAUAUAUAUAGGCCUUUGAUGGCCAUUCAAAAUUCAAAUGAUAAGAUGUGACUGUUGGCGAUAUUCCUUGAAAAUCCUCUCUGGUAAUCGAUUACAGAAUUAGUGUAAUCGAUUACACAGUUGUUUUUCUUGAACAGUUGUGACCCUUCAUUUAAAAUUUGAAUUCCCAACAUUCAGAGUCUCUGGUAAUCGAUUACAUAUGAUGUGUAAUCGAUUACACACUUUCAAACCAUUGGUAAUCGAUUACAUGUGCCUUGAAUGACUUGAAACCUUUCAUUGUGAGGCAAGGCUUGAUCUUGAAGAAAUCUUGAACCAAGGCUUUGUUUGUUGAAACAAUCUUGUAUUAAUCUUGAAGCAAAAUGAGCCUUGUUUGAUUCUUCUUUUGACAUCAUCAAAAUCAUGUAUACAUACAUUCACAUUCUCCCCCUUUUUGAUGAUGACAAACAUGUGAUUUCUUCUCAACACCAUCAAAGCUUGCAUGAUUUACAUUCUCCCCCUUUCUCAAGCAAAUUCUUAAUUCUUCUUGACAUCAUCAAAAUCUUCAUGAUUUACAAUAAGAACUUUUAAUCCUUUCCUUGAAUUGACCCUUGAUAAUGCAAUGCAUAAUUGUCCAUGGCUAAAGACGGGUUUUGGCAAAUAAAGUCCAACCAUAGAAAGUGAUUGGCCUUGAGACUUGUUAAUUGUCAUUGCAUGAGAUAGCAUGAUUGGAAAUUGUCUUCUCAAAAGUUUAAAAGGCCAUGGUGAUUGUGAAGGCAACAUUGACAUUCUUGGGAUGUAAACAUUAUGGCCAAGAUUUUUGCCAGAAAUAAUUUCAGCUGCAAUUACAUGUUUGACUAGUCUUGUAACUAUUAAUCUAGUACCAUUACACAGGCCUUGCGUUUGGUCUAAGUUUCUUAGCAACAUUAUAGGACUACCGAUUUUUAGCUUGAUACAAUGAUUUUGCAUACCAGAUGUGUUUAGUGAAUUGAGAAAUUCAGUGGUAAUUGAUUGGAAAUUCCAACUGUCAAUGCUUUCUGAUUUCUCUAUACAAUCAGAGCUUAAGUAUUCCAUGUGUUCACCUAUUAUAUUUAUUUCAAUUAGCAUGCAAAUUUAAAUAGAGCAUAAAUAUUAAAUAGAUGCUAGUUUUUGUAAGUUUCAGAUAUGUAUAAAUACCUGGAAUCAAAGAAAGUAUAUAACCAUUAACCUCUUCAACUGUUUCAUUGGUGGAAGCUAAUAUUGCUCUACAUUUGAAGAAUUCAGGAUUACUGUGGUGUUGGUAUAAAUCUGGGAAUGUUGAUCUGACUAUAGCAUCAAUGGGGUCAUUAUAUUCAGUAAUCAGUAGGUACUCAGGAAUUUCAACUGUAGCAUAUCCAUCAUUUUGAUUCCCAAUAACUCCAUCUCCAAUAUCUAGAAUCCACUUUGCAAAUUUAGCAGUUCCUUAAUCAUCAACUGAUUGGGCAUUGGCUUGUAAACGCAAGUUUUUUGUGAGUGUUAAUACUUCACAUGAAGGCCAGAGAUAUGAUGAAUUGAUUGUUUCAUUUAUAAUGUCUGAACGGCUUCCUCUUGGAAUGACUGGCAAAAUUUGUCGGAAAUCUCCACCAAAUACAAUAACUUUGCCUCCAAAAAUUUGAUUGGGAUUUUUUUCUUUAAUAAUGUCUGUUAAACUUUGAUCAAGUGUUUGAAAGAAAAAUUUGUGAGCCAUGGGUGCUUCAUCCCAAAUUAUCAUAUUUGUCUAAUUUAGCAAUUCUGCUAACUGACUUCCUUGAAGUAUGUUGCUUGUUGAGUCUUCGAAAAUUGGCAUAGGUAUCUUAAAUUUGGAAUGGACAGUCUUGCCUCCUAGCAACAACAGAGAAGCUAUGCCGCUAGAAGCAACCAUAAUCACAAUUUGAUUUUUUGCCCUCAGUGAACUUGCUAAUGUUCUCCAUAUGUAUGUUUUUCCUGUACCUCCGUAUCCAUAUAGGAAAAACAUGUCACCUUCAUUGUUGUUGACAGCUUGCAUAAUUUUUUGAUAAAUUUGCUUUUGUUCAUCUAGAAUCAAGAAUAAGUUGAGAUUAGAUAGAAAUAAAGAAUAAGUAGAUGCAAAAUUGGAAGAUACAGAUGAAAUUUAACUUUCUUAAAUGCAAUUUAUAAUAUAUGAAUUGGUAGAUUACCUGUCAUAGAUGAAAAAAGAUUUUCGAAUUCUAAUCUAGCCUCAUCAUUGUUGUAAUUGAGUUCUGAUAAUAUCAAGCUAUUCUCUAGACACCAUGCAGGAUUUGCACCCUCAGGAUAUGGCAUUGUAGGAUAGUCUUUUAGUGAUUUUUGGUUUGCAUGUUGAAGUUUUUCAAUUUCCAGUAAUGUUAAAUUUUUAAGUUUCUCAUCAUCAAUGUGUAAUUCUAACAAAUGAUAAAGAAAAUAGUUAAACAAUGCCUAUCUCUGAUGUUAUUCAACAUACAAAGUUACAAACUCAUAAAAACUAACCUGUGUUUACUGUUGUUUUUUUAUAAUGAUAUGCAAUGUCUUCAGCUAACCAAUUCCAUGUCUGAUUCAAAAGUUCUUCAAGUUUAGUAAUGACACCUGUUAAUAGCAUUAAGACAAAUAAUUUCCUCAAAUAAUUAGUUGUGCCCCAAUCCUUAGCUUUUUUGAUUGCUUCCACAAAUUCUCUGUCAUCUUGCAAAAAACUCAUUGUGAAGCAUGCUUCUCUAUAUGUAGGGUAUAGAACAUUUUCAACUGUUCUAAUAUCCUCAAAUGAAGUAGGUCAUUUGCAUGUAGUAAGCAUCAUUCUUAAAUAAAAUAAUUCUCCAGUGGUUGGUGGAACCCAUAUUAGCCUCCCAAUUGUAUUGCCUUUCUUUCUGAGGUUCCAUGAUCUAGCCUUUUGGUUGUACACGAAUUUGGAAACAAAUUGUGAAUAAGUAAGAUUUCUACCUUCUGAAAAAAAAUUGUUUCUAUUCAUCCAAACUAAGAAUUUUGAAUCUGAAAUGGUUGGCUUUGAUAGGAUAUCAUCUAUAUCAUCAUCAUCUUCAUAAAGAACAUUGUGUUGGCCUGGCAAAUGAAAAUGUAAUCUCUCGACAGUAGGCUUUCUAGCAUGUAUUGGAAAACCAAAAAUUCUCCUAGUAGCUUCACAGGAAGAAAUAUAUAUGCCAUAAAAAAUCCAUAAUUAAAGAAGUUAAUUAAAGAAACAAUGAGCAAAUGAAGUAUGCAUGUUAAAUUAAUAUUACCUGUAAUCUACAUAUUCUUUAAUCUCAUCAUUUUGAAUGAUAGGAUUCUCAAGUGCACCAUUAGCAUCAUAAACAACAACAACAGUGACUCUGUCAUAACCUUUUUUUAUGUAUUUAAAUAGAUAUUUAAUGGAAGUAUUUUGAUUACACCAUUCAAUAUUUAUAUGUGCUUGAUAUUUCCUCAGUAAUUUUGCAUUGUAAGGUACUAUAUAUCUAUUAUCAAUAAUAACACCAUUCUUUGAGAUUGUAUGACCAUCAUUUCUUCUAUGAUAGACUGGAUAGCCAUUUGAAUCUAAAACAGUCUGAGGCUGAAACAUUUUAGGGUAAAAACGGCUACACAUGCCUUCUUUCAUACAUGGAGACUUAGAUUGUAGAAUUCCACAUGGGCCAUGUACCAUAUGAUUUUGCACCAAUGUAUACAGUUCAGGGUCAUUUUCAUGUGAAGGAUUUCUACUGAUAUUAUCUAGUCAAUUUCAUCUGUAGAUGGAUAUUUAUUGCCUAGGUGUAAAAAUAGCAAUGGAUGCAAGUGAGGAAGUCCUCUUUUUUGAAAUUCAAUUGUGUGCAUAUCUGCAAUUGUUAGUUGAUAGUAUUAAUAGUGCAAUAGUAAUAUAGAAAUUUUGUACAGUUGUAUCAUAUGAGGAAAAAAUGGAAAGUAAUAAAUGAAUGUAUAAGUUUAACAACCAUAUUAAUAGCAAACUCAUAUGCGACUACUUUUCCAAGCAGGUGUUUUUUUGUUAAGUCAAAAAGCAUAUGUUCAUACUUCAAUCUGAAAACACGAGAGAUAAGAUCUGGUCUAUCUAUUGCUUUCAGAUUCAAAGGUGCAAGUACUCUACGGAUUUCAGGCCAAUUUGGAUUACAAGUUAAAGUAAUAAAAAGAUUUGGAAAACCAACAUGGCUGCAUAUUUUCAUACCAUCAAAGUAAAGUUGAUCCAUAUAACGUGGACUGCCAACAAAAGUUGAAGGCAAAAUCACUCUUUUUCCUUUAGAUGAGUCUUUACUGCUUCCAGCAUCCAAUGAUGUUUGUAAACUACAAUACUUGUCAACUCUAAGUUUUUUUUUGGUUGUUCCUAAUGUAGCUAAGUCUUUCGGACUCAACCAUGGUAUAUGCUUCAACAAUAAAUUGUUGGAAUAGUUUUCUAGAAUGCAACAAAGUUUGUGCUUCACUUGACCUGGACUGAAGUCUAUAAGCAAACCAAUCUCUCAUUGUUAGACAAUUUAUCUUCCUUUUUCUGCUGCCAAAUGUAGAACAGUGAAGUAUGUCAGGUCUAUAUCAAUCUUCACCAUAAGGGAAGAGUAAAGGGUACUGCAGUCCUAGAUAGCUAGAGUGUAAUUCAUGGAUUCUUUGUAAUUCUCCAUUUUGAUUUUCAACAAUAAUAUCCCUUCUUGAGUCUGCAUCAAAAUCACCAACAAUCAGGGCAGCAACUUCAGAAACAUUUGGGAGAUUGUAUGUACGACCAUCCUUUUCACGUCCAGCUAUCAAUCUCAAUUUCACAUUAUCUAGUUGAUUAUCUGCCAAUCUAUCCCUGGCCAUUCUAAAACUUUUUGCAUGGGCAUUGUGGUCAUCUAGCAUUUGACUUAAAGUUGAAACAAUGUGUGGCUGAAUUGUUGCAUGUUGGCUGCAGAAAACAAUAUCAAAAUACAUCCAUUAUUGUUAGAAAACAUGUUUUGCCAAUCAGAAUUCUUCAUAUUUGAUAAUAAAAGAAACAAAAGAACUACUACGUCAUGAUAUUAAUUCUAUUUUCAACUUCAUUCUACGUAUCAAAGAUAUAUAAUUAUGCAAAUUUCGGUUGUUUUCCAGGCAUUGGUAAUAGGCUGCCUAUUCGAUGGCAUGGUUGGCCCUGAAUUCUAAUUGUAGGAGGUCCUCUGGUUUCAUUAAUUGAUUUGUCUAGCUUAAUACCAGCAAAGGUAAAGGCAAACAUCAUGUUAUAUGUCCGUAUGUUAUGUUGAUAAUUUUUACUAUCAGUUGCAUUAUCAUCAAACAGAAGUCGCUCAAGAUAUUUUGUUGGAUUUUGUAAUAAUGGAAGUUCAACUUUGUCAUCUCCACAACAUAAGCUGAACUUUGGACUUGUUGUAUUCUUAUCUUUUGAAAUUCUUUCAUUAUACCACAUUUUUGCAUUACAAUGUCUACAUUGCAUGACUUGAUCACCCAAGUCAGAAUAGCCUGAAAUUGUUUAAUGAGAUAGUACAAUAUAAUUUGAAGCAUAUCAAUUGAUAUUGUUAACCUUAUAUCAAAGCUAUAAUUAUUACCUUCAUUGUUGAUUGCAGGUUCAUUAGUGUUGGAUUGGCAAUUUUCAUUCUCAAACAAAAAAUUAGAAUCAGAUGUUGUAACAAUUUGAGUUAGAUAUCAUAGCUAUAAUUAAAAUUUGCGAAAAAAAUGGAGCAAGGAUUUUCAAUCAUCGUACCUUGUGUGGAUUCAGAAUUUAUUUCUCUAAUGAAUCAGUUGUUAUGACUUAAAAAGAGAGACAAAAUAAGUAAAAUUGAAUAGACUAAUGUUUUUUUUAAAAGAAAAAAUGUUAUUUAUAAUUUCUCACCAUGACAUUGUAUAUCUUCCAAAGUGGAAUCUAUAUUUGCCUCAUGUGGUGUCUGAAGCUGAGUCUUUUUUUUUUUUUGCAGGAUAGUUUCCCUAUUCAUCGUGGCUUUAGCUGAGGUAGAUGGAUUUGCAUGUGCAUGGUUUUGCAUGUCGUCAAUUGAUAUCGAUGAAGUUGUUUGAUAUAUAAAUUCACCACCAAAAACUUUUGAAAUGCACAAAGAGAAAAUUAAACAUCAAAGGAAUUGCAAAUGUGCAGUUGUGCAAUAAAGAGAAAAUUAAAUAUGAAAGUUGAAUUUAAGUAGGUUGGAAAAUGAUCCAUGUAACAAUGAUCAGACUCACAUGUAAAGAUAUUGUAUAUAGAGGAGUAAGUUGUUGAUAUAGAAUCAGCUAUGUGAUUGAUCUGCACCUUUAAAGCUGAAGAAUUUGGAACUCAGCUUGGAACAAAAGAUGAAAUAUUUUGUAAAUUAAUAAACAAAUGUUAGUUGACAUCAAGCAAGAGAUGGCAAAUAUCAAAUCUGCGUUUGGUGGAUUAAAUGUGAUUAGAUGUUUUCAUAUAAUGGAUUUCAUAAUUAAUGAACAAAUUUCUUUUGGCACAGAGCAAGAUAUGGUAAGUAUCAAAUCUUGAAAUUAGCAGCCAAAACUAUAGCUAAAGAUUCAUGGGUAAAUUAAUAAAGAAAUUUUAAUUGACAUGAAGCAAGAGAUGACAAAUAUCAAAUCUGGGUUUGGUGGAUUAAAUGUGAUUAGACAUUUUUAUAUAAUUGAUUUGAUAAUUAAUAAACAAAUUUCUUUUGGCACAGAGGAAGAGAUGGUAAGUAUAAAUCUAGAGUUGUUGCAAUAAAAAAGAAAGCUAAGGAUGAAAUUGAAAUUAGAAGGCAAAACUACAACUAAAGAUCCACGGGUAGAAAAAUUUGGUAUAUAGCAAUUAUUUCAUUUCCAUUUAGAGACAGGGGUUGCUGCCAGUGCAGAAAACUUUGAUAUCAAAGGUUGUUGAAUCUCUCUUUGAUUGAUCAAUAUGUGAUAUUUCGAAUCCUCAUUCCUAAUGGAAUUGAAAUAAAGAUAGGAUUAAAUAGUUUUUAAAAUUACUUAAUAUACCAAUCUAUUUUGCCGAUUUUAAUGACUCAUAACUAAUGUUUAAGUAGGCAAAAAAUUGAGUUUAAUUGGUAAAUGUUAGCUUAUGUUUUAGUUUUUUGUGUAAUUCCUUCAAAAAAAAACCUUAAUUCAUUAGUUAACUUGACUUGUUUACAUUGAUCAGGAUUUUGACAACAAUUGAACAUAUUGCAAUUUCAUAAUAGUAUGGAAUCAAAAUAAUCCUUGUGUUCAAUCUCUUUUUAGUUAGUACUCAGCAGAGAGAAAAAAAACCUUAAUUCAUCAGUUAACUUGAGUUGGAUUGAUAAGGAUUUUGACAACAAUUGAACAGAUUGCAAUUUCGUAAUAGUAUUUCAUAAUAGAACAUAUUGCAAUUUCAUAACAGUAUUAACAAAUAGAGUAAUGGAAACCUAAAAAAAUAGUUGUUUCAUUUAAUCUGAGUAGCACAUAAAAUGCUCAUAGCUCGAAAUGGAGAAGCAAGCAUAGAGAAAAGAAGCAGUUUUGGUUUCGAACUGCAAAAUGAACUUAACCAAAAUGACACAAGAAUGGGAUUCUACAAAACACCCAACACUUAAUGUUCCAACCAUGUGGCCCAUCCAAAGAGUGAAAAAACCACAAAAAGUGUCACGGGGCAAAUAUUACAAUUUGCUCAUACCAUGAUAAAAAAAAAACAUCCAAGACAACCUGUGAACAACUUAAUUCAUUCAGCCUGGCAAUGCUUGGGUAAUUUAUUUGAGGAAACUUGCGUAGGUGAAAUCUCAAAGUUUUUGGGUUCAUCAUCCAACUCAUCAGAGGAUACACGCUUAGUUGGUGUUAAUGGAAUCCUGAGAAGAGGGUCAUGAUCCGUGGUAACAGACACAGAUUGUUGCAUGUUAGUCGAUGAAUACGACUAACUUUUGUGUAUAAAACCUGUGUAAAUUGUAUCAAACUCCUCCAAUUUAUGGUUAUUUUGUAGUGUUGUAAUUACUUUUGGGUAAAGAUAGGUAAUAAAUACUUAGUACUUCCAUUUUGUGUGUUUAAUAAUCAUUUUCUCUCAAUUUCAGGUUAAUUAGGCGAGUUUGUAUAGUGUUGAUUUUCACCCUCUCGUUAAGCCAACCUGUCGGCUUAGCGAGUCAUCCGCUGAGCGCAACACUCCUCGGCUAAGCACGAGGAAGAAUCUAGAAGAAGGAUGAGUUGUGCAUGUUUGCUGAGCGAAGGGCCACUGCUUCAGUCCAUUCGCUGAGCGAGAAAAGCCCGCGCUAAGCCGAAAUUCACUAAUGUGCGCUAAACGGUUCAGAAUUGCGCUAAGUGCACGAGCACGAACAAAGCCACCUAUUUAAGCCUGAAAUCAGAUUUUGAAAAGGGAGUUUGGCCUUUUCUUGAAGCUUCUGCAUGUCUAGAGAGUUCUAGAGAGAGAAAGGUCCAAGUUCCAGAGAGUUUGAGAGAUUUUGUUGUGUGAAGAUCUGCAGAGACCAGAGCUUGAAGAGGGAGCCGUCCUGAGAGCUUGAGAUGAGUUUAUGAGUGAUUGUGAGGUCUUAGAGGUGGAGGAGACAUCCCCACCACUUGUAUUUCUUCAAUCCUUCAUCUUUCUCUUCUCUUUGUUGUAAAGGAAGUUUUCCAGUUAUGGAGAGCUAAAUCCUCUGUUGGUUCUUCCUUGUAGGUACUUGAUGUAAAUACCUGUAUAUCUAUUUAAUGAUGUUUUGUGUGUUCACUGUGCUAUCAGAACUUCAUUCUACCAUGCUUUUGCCUUGAUCAUAUAGCUGCAUGUGUUUUUAGGAUCAUUCAAUAGUGGAAACUGUUCUGAUUCUUAGAACAUGAUAGGACAGGGUUAGUUUGUCGUACUAUCACGAGGGAUCGAGGUACGAUAACUUAGUUGUUGUAUGUUUGUCUUAAUGCAGUCCUGGCCGAGUUUAGUCCAACAAGAGGAAUCUGCGAACGAUGCUUGAUCAGGAUUAGGCUAGACUAUCAUGAGGAAUCGGGGUUUAGCAUUUCAGGAGACACCAUAGAACGCAUAAGCAUUGUUAAGUAAAGAAUAUCCUUUUAACAUCAGACACCUAUUAGGAAGACCAACGUAUUACCUACUUGUCUUUACGCAUCAUUACUCACGUGAUUUUCCUUUUUAAUAGUUAGUUUACACACUUAUUCAUAGUUAACACAUCUCUUUUCACACUAGACACCUAUUCACUGAAAUAGUUUUACCAAGUAACACAACUUCCCCGAGAGUUCGAUACUCGGUUCUUACCGUUUUAUACUACUUGUGCGAUCCGGUGCACUUGCCGGAAGCGAACACUGCAUAAAAUAUUAACUAAUCAAUAAGCUAAAUUUUGUUGCCAUCAUCACAAGAUACACCAGGAAAAACACACAAGGACAAUGGUAGCUUACAGAUUCAAGCUCUAUAGGGUCAGUUGAGUCAAGCAUUGAACGGUCAUCAUCGACGGUAACAAACACAGAUUGCUACAUAAAAUAUUAAUUGAUGAGUGAGCUAAAUUUUGUUGCCAUCAUUGCAAGAUACACCAGGAAAAACACAAAAGGACAAUGUUAGCUUACAGAUUCAAGCUCUUUAGGGUCGGUCGAGUCAAGUAUUGAACUCUCAAUCUUGCAACAUGGCUGCAUGAUAUAUGAAUUGAGAGUAAAGAAACAAAUGGAAUAUAUGGAUACAGUCACAAUAACAAAAAUACACUUGACAAAAGACAACCUCAGUAUCGGGAAGCAUAUCCAGCACAGCAUUGAUCAAGUAUGAUUCAUCUGAAUAUUUAAGAACAACAACAUUCCUGAACCUUGGUUGUACCUUGACUUUGAAUGCAAGGAAACAACCCAAUAGCCUAUCUAGUGCUUGAGGAGAGGCAUUUAAAUCAACAUUGUCAUCCUUGCGGGAAAAAAAUCAGUGACUUAAAAUGAACAAUGAAAAUGGAUAGCAACCUAACAAAUUUUGAUUGUAAAUUAAAAAACAUUGCAUGAUAAUACAAUAACAUACUGCUAUUUUGAGCUUGUUGACUUCAUCCACUGAUUGACCAAUUAACUCUGCACAUUCAUGGUCCCAGAGCAAAAGUUUGGUCUGUUCGCCCUUGUGAUUAACCAUCACUUCAACUCUAUAACUGCCAAUGUACAUACCAGUAUAAGAAAAAGUAAUUGAUGAAGGUCAUACCAAUUAAGCAGUGAAUAUCAAUGACCUUAGUACAGGUUGAUCGUUGUCUUUGCCACAUGGACAUGUGAAUGACACAGUUUCUAUGUCAGUUUUUUUGUGACAUUGACUACAAGCCGGAUAGCAUCAUGAAUGGUUGUCCAUCACUAUAGUUGUAAUCAUGGCGACAGUAACACAUACAAUUUCCUGUUUGAAAAAAUUGGCAUUAGAUUUUGUACAAAGAGAAGUUACAAAUGAAUAAGAACAUCACCUCGGAAUUGGCAUUAAUCUGAUAGUUUGCUUCAGCCUUUGACAGAAACGCAUCUUUUAAUGAUAAUUGAGAUGACCCGGAAACCUAUGAACUCCCUUGUCCAAUAGGAGUCAAAACUGAUCUAACCUCAAUCCCUAAAUCUAAAAGCCUAUAAGAAUAAAACAAAUGCAAAAACCCAGCAAAGAUUAGUUACAUAUUUAACGGUUUGAAAUUACAAACACGAAACUAACACAUUGUCAAAAUACCUCUCUCUGAAUUCUUGAAUUUCCAACACAAGCUCGUUGAUCAUGAGUUUAGACGCCUUCAAAGAAUUACUGACUGACGGCAGAUAUGAUCCUGUAGAUCAGACCCCAAAAAAAUAUUAUCUAGUGAGCAUGACAAUUGAGAAAUUUGACAUUACACUAACCCUGGCCUUCCUUGAUCCUAGCAUGUGUCAAAACAAUAACGAUGGGCCUUUCAUCUUCAACCUCAUUCAAGUAAGACAAAAACUAUAAGCAGUAAUUUUCCCAGAGUGUGCAGGAUAGCACCUGCCCACUAUCAGAAGCAAACAACAAUAAAUGUAUCAGUAUAUCAAUAUCUAAUCAUCACCAGAUACAAAUAACAAUUACACACACUCAAAACUUAAAUUCUAAAACAUAACCUCAAAUCCUUUAAUUUGAAAACAACCCUUGUAUUUUUUGAUGAGACAUAUCAGAAUACCACUUCAUCAACCACGCCAAUAACGUCUAAAGCAACCACAAGAUAAACGCAUAUUAUUUGAAAAGCCAUAAGUACCUCAAUCAAAAUCAAUGCACAAAUUGCAAACAAUCUUACCAACCAAGAGUCCAGUUUGAAAAUCACGAGUAAUGACAGUGGAAAAAUCAACAAAUCUAAAUUUCCUAAAAGUUAGGUGUUCCGUAUCAGAUUGCCUAACAACAGUAACUCUAGUAAAAGAUAAUUUAUAUUCAUGAUCACAAAUUUUGAAUUGACAAUCAUUCUUCAUAACUUUAAAAUUAUGCAUCACAUAAGUCAAAUUUUCCUUCAAAUCAGCCUUCGAAGACUUUAGCUGAUCUUGUUUGCAAACAACAUGGAUAUAAAUACAAAGAAUAUAAAUACCUGAUUGAAUGGUCAAUAAUAUAGUAUAUAACAAUAAAAAAAAUGGGAAAAAACAUACAUCAUAAUCAACAAUAACCAUUUCGACUUGUUCAGACUUUUCAGGGAUCCCAAUGAACCAAAGAUCAGUGAUCCUUGCAAAAAGCUUAAGAGUUUUCCUUGAUCCAUCUAUCAACUUAAUCUUAUCAAGAACACGUGCCAUAACUUUAUAUAAAAUUGGUUGCUCGUAAAUCUAUAUAAAAUUGGUUGCUCGUAAAUCUAUGAUGUAGGCAAUCGCAAACCCUGAACAACAACACCAGGAAAAAUAGAACAUCAGUUAAAAACCAAGCAUAUAGUCGAACGAGAAAAAAAUUAAAUUACCACCUCAACCAUAGGAAACCAAAGUUAACAAUCUAUGACCAAAAAAACAAAGAAGAAAACUCAGAAACACACAUAAGACCGCAAGAAACUUUGUAAAGACAAUCAUGCAUAUGAUUCAGUAAAAAUAAACACCUGAUCAUGUGAGUAAACAUAGUUAACAAAAGAGUUGGCAAACAUAUAAGAAUGCAUUAACACGAAACUUAGCAAAGCAUACAAAAAACAACCAUCCCCAACAUAAACACACAACAACAUCGGUACAAAAAUUAAGGCUCAACUUCUCUCAGCCAAACCGAACAAAGUUCAUUAAACUGUAAAAUAACAAAAAAAAGGUAAGACACACAUGCACAACAUAAAUAGCCAAACCUAGUUCAUUAAACUGUAAAAUAACAAAAAAAAAAAGGUAAGACACACAUGCACAACAUAAAUAGCCAAACCUAGUUCAUUAAAAUGUAAAAUAACAAAAAAAAAAAGGUAAGACACACAUGCAUAACAUAAAUAGCCAACAACAUGGGUACAAAAGUAUAACUUUGAUUUCUCGCACCCAAAACGAACAACCAAGCAAAGGCAAACUGUAAAACAAGCGUAACUCAUUAAAACACAAAAAACGAAAGUUAGAAAAACACCGAAAAAAAGUUCUAAAAUCAGGGGGAAAAGGUAGCACAGGCAUGCACAACAUAAACAUUACCUUUUCAUCUCACAGCUAAGCUGAGCAACGGAGCAAAACCAAACUGAAAAACAAACUUCUCAACCAAAGAAAAGUUGUAAAAUCACAGUCAUGCACAACAUAAAAGUUAGAAAACAAAGCACGAAAGUCAGAAAAACAUCCAAAAAGAGUUCUAAAAUCACUCGAAAAAGGUAACACACAUACAAAGUGAAAACAAACCGAACGCAAAGACAUUCAGCAAAAAAACAUAACACAACCGAAGGCAUGUUAAGGCAUGCACAACAUAAACAUUACCUUUUCUUCUCACAGCCAAGCCGAGCAACGAAGCAAAACCAAACUGGAAAACAAAAAGAAAACUGAAAACAAAUCGAAGGCAAAGACAUUCAGCAAAAAAACAUAACACAGCCAUACUCAGUAUACUAAAAAGCUCACACCUUGAAAUCCAGAAGCAAGCAAAGAGAAAAGAAACAGUUUUGUUUUCCAACUGGAAAAUGAAGCAAACCAAAAUGACACAACAACGGCUAACGGGAUUCUACAAAACACCCAAACCAUGUGCCCAACCAAAGAGUGGAAGCUAGCUUAACCAUCAGACACAUUGCACAACAGUUGCUUUUGGGGAAAAAAGAAACACGUAAACCAAAACAUGUGUUGUUGUUGAAGAAGAAAGCAAAAUGACCAUAAAAUGACCAUAAACCCAGGAAAAGGGACACGUGGCAAUUUUCUAAGCAGGGGCACAAUAGACUUUUUCCUCUACUUUUCUUUUAUAAUAUAGGAUAUAGAUUGGUAGACAUUAGUCAUCUUUUUCAAUUUGAUAUGCAUUAUUACCACCAUAUGAAUGGCUGGUGUUAUAUUUUUGGAUUUGACUUUCCAUUUAUUUAAUCAAUGGAAAUCCAUAUAAUUAUGUGAUCCAUAUAAUCAUUUUUUACAUGAUUUUCAUAACAAGUAUUUUAGAGUUAUUCUUUAUCUUCCUUAAAUUUUUUGUAAUUUAAUUGUUAAGAUUAACUAUUCAUUCAAAUCAUUAUUAGAUUUUAGGCUAAAUCAUAAUUUUGAUCUCCUAUAAUUUUAAAUUUGUGUUUAUCUCCUUAUUUCUAAAUCAAAACAUUUAAUUCUCCUAUUUUUUAGAAUAACUAAUUUUGAUCAGUAUGCCAGUUGAUCAUCCAAAGUCAAAUGUUAACUUUGAUGUAACAUGUAUUAGCCUAACAUAAUGCUUACGUGGGUUGUGGGCAUAGCGCUUAUGUGAUAAAGGAUUAAAUAAAGUGAAAAACAAAAAGAUCUUAAUAAGAAUUGAAUUCAUGACCUUUUAUUUAAACACAAAGCAAUAAAUACCUAAGAUAUUUGUUUUGUUUAAUUAAUUUCAAACACUAUUUUAAAUGUAUCAUUAGUCAAAAGUUAUUAACUUUUUAUUAUAAAAAAUUAUAAAUUAAUAUAAAUUAUUUAAUAUUUAAAUAAAAUUAAUAUUUUAUUUUAUUUUAUUUUAAUAUAAAUUAAUAAAAAUUGUUCUUAUUUUAUAAAUUUUUUUAAAAAAUACAUAAACUAAUAUAUGGGUUAUUUUAAAAACUUUUUUUAUUUAAUUUUUACAAAUUAGGUAAGUUUAAAAUAAUAUUUAAAUAAUAUAAAAAAAUUGAUUAAUUUUUAAAAUUAAAAUUAAAAUUCAUAUUAUUUAUAUAUAAAAUUAUAUGUACAUAGUUUUUAGAAAUUACAUAAAGUAAUUUAUAUAAAUAAUUUACAUAUUAAUUUAUAUAAUUUCUUCAUUUAUAUAAUUGGUAUUAAAAACUUGUUUACUACAUAAUUUUUAUAGUUAAACAAUAAUAUUAACAUGAAGUUUCCAAAAAUAAAUAAAUAUUUAAAUUUUAUGAAUUUAUAUAAUUAUAAUAAAAAGAAUUUACAUAUUCAAAUAAAUUUACAUAAUUUGUAUAACUUACAUAUUAAUUGAUGCAAUGAUAUUGAUUUAUAUAACUAGAGUAAAGUAAUAUUUAUAUCAAAAUAAAUUUACAAAAUAAUUUAUAUAUGAAUUUAUCAAAUUUAAUUAUAAAUUAGUAAAAUUAAAUAAAAAUAUGUAAACUAUUCAAACUAAUAUAUAUAUAUAUAUAUAUAUAUAUAUAUAUAUAUAUAUAUAAUGAUAUAAAAUAAAAUUAAAAAGAUGUAUAUAUAUUAAAUAUUUAAUUUAAUUUAUAAAUUUUUAUAAUUUAAAAAAUUAAUAACUCUUGACUAAUGAUAUAUAUAAAAUAAUAUUUAUAAAAUUAACUAAGAAAAGCAAAUAUUUUAAUAGUUUAUGACGUUAUCUUUGAAUAAGAGGUCAUGAGUUUAAUUUUUACUAAGAUUUUUUUGUAUUUUUUUACUUUAUUUAACUCAUUGUCAUAUAAGCAUCAUGUAAACAAUCUAUAUAAGUGUCACACCAACGCUAAUACAUCACAUCAAAGUCAACAUUUGACUUUGACUUUGGAUGAUCAACUAAUGAAAGGACCAAAAUUGUUUACUCUGAAAAAUAGGAGACUAAAUGUCUUGAUAUAGAAAUAAAGGGAUCAAAAUUCUACAUUUAAAAUUAUAGGGAGACCAACAUUACAAUUUAGUCUAGAUUUUAAGAAAAUGAAUAACAAGGAUGAAGAGUAACUCAUCUUUUACAAUUAUUCUUGGAGUAACUCUCUCUCUCUCUCUCUUUAUAUAUAUAUAUAUAUAUGACGGUGGAUCAACUUAUUCCAGGAGUUACUCCUCAUCCUCUCCCUUGAUCACGUCUACACUUUUCGUGAUACUGACUAGAUGUGGAGCAUGGGGUAUAGGCCGGAGUAGCGAACUUUGAUUGUCUUUGUGUCUACUUUUGACAAGAAUCUCAUUCGGUCGAUCAAGGUUCAAAAUGCCACUGAUUCUGCAAAGGUCAUUCCACGGAGGAGUCUAGCAAUCUUGGAGGAAAAUGGACAACGACACCAGAAAGCUCUGAGCAAGGUGACAUCCUUAGAGGCAGAGGAAAAUGGACAACGACACCAAAAAACUCUGAGCAAGGUGACGUCCUUAGAGGCUGAGGUCACCAAGUGGAGGGUCAUUACUCGAACUGUUUGGAGAGUGAAGCAUCCUAAUACAUAACAAAUGAUUAUAUUUGUAUUUUAACAAUGAAAAGUUGUCACAUAGAAGUAAGAGAAAGGAAAAGUAGUUUGUACAUAAAAAGGAUAAAUUAACAUGAGAUUAUUAAAGGUUAUCAUUUAUCAAGGUAUUGAAGGUUAUGAAGUGUUGUACAUGAAUGUCUAUAUUACCUUCAAGAAAAAGAGAAGAAAUUAUAAGUAAUGAAAGAAAAAGAAAAAAAAAGAAUCCAUGAAAAUCUCAAUGUUUUUUGUGGGAUAGUUUAAUGAAUAUUUUCUAUUGACAAAUCACAUAAAAUCCAUACUAAAAAGGAAUCGAUUGAAAUCUUUAUAUUUUUAAAUACCAGAAGACUUUUUUUAAUCUUAAAAAUAUCUUAAUUGAAUAUUAUUGGAUUUCAUUGUAGUUCUUAAAAAAUCCCAAUAAUCUUAAUUGAAUACCACAAUACUUAUUUAUGUCAUUUAAAAGUCUUGAUUGAAUAUCUCAAGACUUUUUUUAUAUAAAAAAAAAAUCUUUUAAAAUCCUUCAAAAUUCCAAUCCAAUACAUUCCCAUAAUGUUCUAAGUCCUAGUAUAAAACUAAUUAUUUUUACAUGUUAUAUUAGAGCAAGUUAUACUAGGUUUAAAAUUCUAUUAUUUAGGGUUUAGUUAUAUAAUAUAAACAUUUUGGGGAAUGAGUUUUUGGUAAAAAAAGAUUUAUUAUUGUUAAAUUAAAUAGUUAACAAGAUUUAAUUCGCACAAGUAUUUUGAUAAAUAUUUUGGAGAAUGAGGUUUUGGUAAAAAAAAAAAGUUGUAUAUAUAUUUAUUGAAGUAAAAAGGUUACUCUCUCACAUAUAUAGUAGUACUUCAAUGAAAUGAUCUUUUUAACACCUUUAAAAUUUGGAUUCAACGACAAUUGGUACUAUUUCCUACCAACAACUAAUCGCUGACUAAGAGGACCAAUCACUGACUUCCAAUAAAUAAUGGCAAGCAUGCUUAUUGUUGGGCUGUGACCUAAAUCCAUAUGGAAGAUUAUUCUGUUAUUUUUUCUAUUUUGUCCUCUGCAUAUAUAAGGCAAGGAUGCCCUGCAUUUUCUAGACAGAGGAUAAGCUUCCACUUGUAUACUGCAACCAUAAUAAAAAAGCUUUCUGUUUUUCCCUCCCGUGGAUGUAGCCUUGAUCAAGGUGAACCACGUAAUUUUGUGUGUGUUCUUUCUCUCCUUUCUUCUCUUUCAAUUCUGCUGCAAUUUUGUGUGUAUGACAUUUCUGGUAUGUUGAAUUUUCUGCUGCUUUCUUGUUUGUUCUUCAUCACUUCCAUAACAAACUGGUAUCAAGAGCUCUAGUUGCGAUCAAGGGAAUUCAAGAUUCUCGUCUGAAUACAAAGAUCAAGUUGUAGGAGUCUUGUUUCUGGUUCUUUCGCUGCUUCUUGGUGAUCAAGAACACUCAAGAAAUUAUGUCAAACACAAUCAGUAUUGAGAAAUUCAAUGGAAAGAACAGCUUCAAUCUGUGGCGCAUCAAGAUGCGUGCUUUGUUGAAGGAACAACGUGUUUGGGCUGUUGUUGCUUCUGCAUCUGUGAAGAAAGAAGUGGCUUCUGAAUCAAAAGAAAAGACCUCUAUUUCAAAGACUGAAGAACUUGCAAAACAAGAAGAAAAGGCUCACUCACUAAUCUUGCUUUCCUUGUCUGAUGAAGUUUUAUAUGAAGUUGCAAAUGAAGAAACUGCAAGUGGCUUAUGGCUCAAGUUGGAAAAGCUGUAUAUGACUAAGUCAAUCUGCAACAAGCUCUUCUUGAAGAGGCGUUUAUUUGGUUUACACAUGAAAGAAGGUACAUCUCUUAUAGAUCAUCUUGAUGAAUUAAAUUCUAUUUUGAUGGAAUUAAGAGAUAUAGAUGUUAAGAUAGAGGAUGAAGAUGCUUCCAUGAUUCUGUUAGCGUCUCUACCACCAUUAUAUGAAAGCUUUGUCAAUUCCCUUAGUGUUGGUAAGGAAUGUGUCACCAUGGAGGAGAUGAAAUCCAGCUUAUACUCAAGGGAACUUCGCUCUAAAGCAUCUAGAAAUUCUGAAGAAUCAAAUGGAUCUAGUCUUGUUGCCUCUAACUCUAACAAGAACAUCAAGAAAAAUGUGUUUAAAGGAAAGAAGAAGACUCAUGUCAAUCCAAAGGAUAUCUGUAACUAUUGCAAGGAGCCAAGUCAUUGGAAGAAAGAUUGUCCCAAGAAAAAGGGCAAACCAUCUGCUGCUAUUGCCAAGGAAGGUUCCACAUCUGAAAAUGAGCUUGUUCUCUCAGUUGCUAAUCAUCACCAACAUUCUGAAAAUCAAUGGAUAUUAGACUCUGGACGUUCCUUUCAUAUGUGUCCUAACAAAACCUGGUUUGACACCUAUGAAGAGAAAUCGGGUGGAAAUGUCUUUAUGGGAAAUGAUGUCUCAUGCAAGACAGUUGGAAUUGGCACAAUAAAAAUCAAGAUGCAUGAUGGAAUUAUUCGAACACUCACUGAAGUUAGGCAUGUUCCAGACCUGAAGAAGAAUCUAAUCUCUAUAGGUAUUAUGGAUGGAAAAGGGUUCAAAUGCAGCACUGAAAAUGGGGUCACGAAAAUUCAUAAAGGCUCUACAAUGGUGAUGAAGGGUAUAAAGAAGGGUAAUCUUUAUAUACUUCAAGGUACAACAUGUAUUGAUGAUGGUCUAGUAGCUGUUGCAUCAAGAUCCAAUAAGAGCAUACCUGACUUAACUCAAUUGUGGCACAUGAGGCUAGGACAUAUGAGUGAAAAAGGUAUGAUGAUACUUCAAAAACAGCAGCUGUUAGGAAAUCAGAAAUUGGAUGAACUGAAAUUCUGUGAGCACUGUGUUUUCGGCAAGCAACAUAGGAUUAAAUUUUCAAAAGCAAUUCACACCACCAAAGGAACUCUUGAUUACAUUCAUGCUGACUGUUGGGGGCCUGCAAGAGUACCUUCUCUAGGUGGUGGAAGGUAUUUUCUGUCCAUAAUUGAUGACUACUCAAGGAUGACUUAGAUCUACAUCAUGAGUCAGAAGAGUCAAGCUUUCAAAUGCUUCAAAGAAUGGAAAGCACUGAUUGAAAAAUAAAAUGAAAGGAAAGUUAAAAGACUCAGAACUGAUAAUGGCUUGGAGUUUUGCUCAACAGAAUUUAACAAAUUCUACAGAGAUGAAGGAAUUGCUAGACAACUUACCGUUAGGAACACUCCUCAGCAAAAUGGAGUUGCUGAAAGAAUGAACAGAACACUCCUGGAAAGAACAAGAUGCCUGUUAUCCAAUGCUGGUCUCAACAGAAGUUUUUGGGGAGAAGCUAUCAAUACAGCUUGUCUUCUAAUCAAUAGAACACCCUCUAGUGCUAUAGGACUUAAAACUCCUAUUGAAAUCUGGAAUGGCAAAACAGCAAACUACUCAAACCUAAGAGUAUUUGGCUGCAAUGCUUAUUAUCAUGUCAAUGAAGGAAAGCUAGUAUCUAGAUCAAGAAAUGGUUUGUUCAUGGGUUAUGGUGAUGGGGAGAAAGGCUAUAGGAUCUGGUCACCAUCCGAAAAGAAAGUUCUACUCAGCAGAGAUGUAAUUUUUGAUGAAUCACACCUGUUUUAUCCCAAGCUUGAGGUUCCAAUUGUUGGAACACAAAGCUGCCACUCUCCUCAAGAAAAGGAUGUAGAAUCUAUAGCCAAAGACUUAGAAAAAGGGGGUCAUUCCAAAACAUCUCCUGUGGUUCUUCAAGAAGGUGAGAAAUUAGAAGAUUUCAGUGCAAAUGAGUCUCAUUUGGCUGCUGAACCUGAUCCUCCACAGCUCAAUUCUGAAAUCAAUCAGAGACCAAAAAGGAUCACUAAACCUCCUGACAGAUAUGGCUUUGAAGACAUGGCUGCCUAUGCAUUACAUGCAGCUAAAGACAUAGAUUCAAAUGAACCAGCCACUUACCAAGAAGCUAUCAAUCAUCCUGAAGCUAAAAAUUGGUUGUUAGCUAUGAAAGAGGAAAUGGAAUCUUUAUAUAAGAAUCAGACCUAGAAACUUGUUGAACUACCUAAAGGAAGACAUGUGGUAGGCUGCAAGUGGAUAUACAAGAGGAAACCUGGUCUUUCAGAAAAGGAAGGGAUAAGAUACAAGGCUAGGUUAGUUGCCAAGGGAUUCAGCCAGAAAGGAGUAGAUUUCAACGAAAUUUUUUCUCCUAUGGUUAGACAUACAUCCAUCAGGGUUUUGCUUGCUAUAGUGGCAAACCAAGAUCUGGAACUUGAACAACUUGAUGUCAAGACUGCUUUUCUCCAUGGAAGAUUGGAAGAAAAUAUUCUAAUGAAACAGCCUGAAGGUUUUGAAGUUCAAGGAAAAGAAAGGUAUGUUUGUUAACUACAGAGGUCCUUGUAUGGGUUGAAACAAUCUCCAAGGCAAUGGUACAUGAGGUUUGACAGCUUUAUCACCAGCCAAGGAUUCAAGAGGAGUCUCUAUGACAGCUGUGUUUAUCACAACAAGGUGGAGGAUGGAUCAAUGAGUUAUCUUCUACUCUAUGUAGAUGGCAUGCUUAUUGCAGCAAAAAGCAUGUGUGAUAUACAAAAUCUGAAGAUUCUCCUGAAUGGUGAAUUUGAUAUGAAAGAUCUAGGGGCUGCGAAGAAAAUCUUAGGAAUGGAAAUCUAUAGGGACAGAACUCAGAAAAGGCUAUUUUUGUCUCAAAAGGAUUACAUUCAGAAAAUACUUGUAAGGUUUGGAAUGGCUGACUCUAAACCUUUCAGCACUCCCCUUUCAGAAAAAAAGAAGUUGUCUGCUAUGAUAAAGGUUCAAGCUCAAGCUGAUCAGGACUACAUGUCAAAGGUUUCAUACUCAAGUGUUGUUGGCAGUCUCAUGUAUGCCAUGGUCUGCACUAGACCUGACCUUGCUUAUGUUGUUAGCAUGGUUAGUACGUUAUUAAACCAACCUCAGAAGGAACAUUGGAAGGCUGUUAACUGAAUUUUCAGAUAUCUUAAAGGGACUACAGAUGUAGGUUUGAUCUAUGGAUCUCAUCCAAAUUGCUGCCUCACUGGCUAUUCUGAUGCAGAUUUUGCUGCUGAUCUAGUCAAGAGAAGGUCAUUAACAGGGUAUGCUUACACCCUUGGUGGCUGCUUGGUGAGUUGGAAGGCAACACUUCAACCUUCUGUUGCCUUCUCAACUACUGAGGCUGAAUAUAUGGCUCUUACUGAAGCUGCGAAGGAAGGAAUUUGGCUGAGAGGUCUGAUAAAUGAUCUCGGAAUUAAUCAAGAAUAUGCUAACAUCUACUGUGACAGCCUUAGUGCUAUAUGCUUGGCCAAGGACCAGGUUCAUCAUGAUAGAACCAAGCAUAUAGAUGUUAGAUAUCACUUCAUUCGGUCAGAAAGAAGAAUCAAAGUUCAUAAGAUCAGCACUCUGCACAAUCCUGCUGAUAUGUUCACAAAGCUAGUUCCGAAGAGCAAGUUUGAUCAUUGCUUAAGCUUGCUCAAUGUUGAUUGUUGGGGUUAAGAUCUUGUGUGGUUGGAGGGAGCAGUUUGUGUCCUAUAUGGAUGUUAGUUCAAGGUGGUGAAUUGUUGGGCUAUGACUCAUAUGGAAGAUUAUUCUGUUAUUUUUUCUGUUUUGUCCUCUUUCUAUAUAAGGCAAGGAUGCCCUGUAUUUUCUAGACAGAGGAUAAGCUUCCACUUGUAUACUACAACCAUAAUAAAAAAGCUUUCUGUUUUUCCCUCCCAUGGAUGUAGCAUUGAUCAAGGUGAACCACAUAAUUUUGUGUGUUCUUUCUCUCCUUUCUUCUCUUUCAAUUCUGCUACAAUUUUGUGUGUAUGACAUUUAUGGUCUAUUGCAUUUUCUGCUACUUUCUUGUUUGUUCUUCAUCACUUCCAUAACACUUAUAAUGUGUGCAUGUGACAGAAGAAUUUCCACUUGGCCGACCCUUGGCUUGCGGCAACAUGAAACAACAAAAAUGUAACUUGAGUUACAUUUCAUGGGACCAUAGCUGAAUCACCCCCUGGAAAUAGACUCCUUUAACCAUUCAGCUAAAUGAAAAUGAAAACCACUGCUCAAGGUACAGUCACACCAAUCAUUAAAUCAAACGCUCCUCAUCUAUUGCUCUCAAUUAAAACACUUGGCAAUCAAAAUAGCAACACUUUAAGUUUAAGACCGAAGUAACCAUAAACCAUGAAGAAGAUUUGUCAUUUGCCAGUUCAUAAUAUCACCACCGACAAGGUUUGUCUGGGUGUUAUUUGAGGUAAAAUGCACUAUAAAAAGCUAGAUUUUAAAUUGUAAAAUCUUCAUGGUGGUAAAAUUGUAUACUCUCUAUAAUAGUGUGCAUGAUAGUCAUUUUUUCCUAGUAAAACCUAGAUUACACAAUUUGAAGGGAGUAUACAAUUUACUAUGUGAAUUCAGUAGAAGUACUGCAAUUCACAUAGUAAAUUCAGUUAGAUUACUGUAUAUAGUGUGCAUUUUAUUGUUUUGCAACGCAAAAUGAUACUAGUCAUGUUUUCCCAGUUUUCCCAGUAAACCUAGACUACAAAUGAAUUCCGUGAAAGUACUGCAAUUCACAUAGUAAAAUUGUAUACUCUCUAUAAUUUGAGAUUAUUACAUAUUUCUAGCAUAAAUCUUGAGAGAACAUUUUUUUUUGUUUCAUCAUAUAAAAUAUAUAUGUUCUGAAAGAACACAUACAAGUACACAAAAAAAAGGGGGAAAUUCAUAAAAAAAUACAGAAAAAAAAAAACAGAAUUGAGUAAGAGGGAAGGAAACAUAGAGAAAAUUUUAGCAAUCAGAUAAUAAGAAGCCAGUAGUAGUGCAAAAGUCCCUUGCCAAGAGUGUUGGAACCCCUUUUAGUUAAGCAGGUACCUUCUCCCCCUUGAGUGGCUUCACCACUUCCCAUGUGAAGUCAGGGUCAUCUCUGCCAAAGUGUCCAUAUGCAGCAGUCUUCAAGAACCUGCCAUUUCCACCCCUCUUGAGAUCAAGGUUGAUGGAGAUCAUGCCAGGCCUGAAGUCAAAACUCUCCUUCACAAUGCUGAGGAUUUCCUUGUCAGGGAUCUU
RNAcentral lists this long non-coding RNA (25545 nucleotides) under Glycine max (soybean). Its description in RNAcentral is "long non-coding RNA (GMAX_LNC003465)". The record is from RNAcentral. Lineage: Eukaryota; Viridiplantae; Streptophyta; Magnoliopsida; Fabales; Fabaceae.